CAUGUCUAAGUAUAAGCAAUUAUACAGCGAAACUGCGAAUGGCUCAUUAUAUAAGUUAUCGUUUAUUUGAUAGUACCUUACUACUUGGAUAACCGUGGUAAUUCUAGAGCUAAUACAUGCUGAAAAUCCCGACUUCGGAAGGGAUGUAUUUAUUAGAUUCAAAGCCAAUGCCCUCUGGGCUCACUGGUGAUUCAUGAUAACUCUUCGAAUCGCACGGCCUUGCGCCGGCGAUGGUUCAUUCAAAUUUCUUCCCUAUCAACUUUCGAUGUUUGGGUAGUGGCCAAACAUGGUUGCAACGGGUAACGGAGGGUUAGGGCUCGACCCCGGAGAAGGAGCCUGAGAAACGGCUACUACAUCCAAGGAAGGCAGCAGGCGCGCAAAUUACCCAAUCCCGACACGGGGAGGUAGUGACAAUAAAUACUGAUACAGGGCUCUUUUGGGUCUUGUAAUUGGAAUGAGUACAAUUUAAAUCCCUUAACGAGGAACAAUUGGAGGGCAAGUCUGGUGCCAGCAGCCGCGGUAAUUCCAGCUCCAAUAGCGUAUAUUAAAGUUGUUGUGGUUAAAAAGCUCGUAGUUGAACCUUGGGCCUGGCUGGCCGGUCCGCCUCACCGCGUGUACUGGUCCGGCCGGGUCUUUCCCUCUGUGGAACCCCAUGCCCUUCACUGGGUGUGGCGGGGAAACAGGACUUUUACUUUGAAAAAAUUAGAGUGCUCCAGGCAGGCCUAUGCUCGAAUACAUUAGCAUGGAAUAAUGAAAUAGGACGCGCGGUUCUAUUUUGUUGGUUUCUAGGACCGCCGUAAUGAUUAAUAGGGACAGUCGGGGGCAUCAGUAUUCAAUUGUCAGAGGUGAAAUUCUUGGAUUUAUUGAAGACUAACUACUGCGAAAGCAUUUGCCAAGGAUGUUUUCAUUAAUCAGGAACGAAAGUUAGGGGAUCGAAGACGAUCAGAUACCGUCGUAGUCUUAACCAUAAACUAUGCCGACUAGGGAUCGGACGAUGUUAUUUUUUGACUCGUUCGGCACCUUACGAGAAAUCAAAGUGCUUGGGCUCCAGGGGGAGUANNGNCGC
RNAcentral lists this ribosomal RNA (1066 nucleotides) under Ophiocordyceps sp. JL-2011. RNAcentral's name for it is "SSU rRNA". It matches the Rfam family "Eukaryotic small subunit ribosomal RNA", at positions 54 to 1132 of the family's 1831-position model. The record is from RNAcentral. Lineage: Eukaryota; Fungi; Ascomycota; Sordariomycetes; Hypocreales; Ophiocordycipitaceae.